CUUUGCUUCAUUGCCUGAAAUAAUAAUGAAGAAUUGGGCUUGUGAAUUAGAGGGAUUAGAAAUCAAUAAUUCCCUGAAUAGGAGAUGCAAAAUACUCGAUCACUGUGCUUCUUUCAUGGAUAAAGUCAUAGAUUAAACCUAUGUUACUCGAACUCAGACGAAGAGUAUCAGAUAUAGGUGCAUAUCUAACAUGAGUAUGUUCAAAUUCCUUUAGAACUUUUUGUAUCAUCUUCUGAGUAUGUGUUGGAUCAUGAACAUAGGUCUCGCACAUGGGUAUUUCAACAAAUAUGAAGAGUUAAGAGCAACAUAGGACUAAACUCCAUCUUGGUUAGCAUCAUGUUUAUCACCUUGAUACAAAAGAGGAAAACAAUAAAAAGAAAGGAGACUGCUCAAUGAAUACCUCCAAAUCUUUUCGGCGUGCUUCCUCCUUUUUGGCUUCCGACCUAGAACUUCUUUGAACUUCAAAGAUCAAGACAGCUCCAGCAACCUAUAUGCACACUCCAACAUGUACAAAGUCAGAAACAUUCAUGUAUUCAACAGAGUGCAGAGUAUGGUGAUAGAUUAUUGCAUUCCAAAUGAUUAUUCCUAAAAGGAAGAUAAGACAUCUACCAAGUGAGCAUAUGUCUAAUACAAGGCGGUGAUAAGAAGCUUUAAGUGACAGCAUCAUCAAAUUAGUAAUCCAUACCAUGCAAAAAGAAUAGUUUUCAAGACUACUAGAAGCAGUAACAGGAAGAACGGCAGGGACAACAAUACCGUGAAGACAAAAAGCUCCCCAAUAAGAUCUACAGCAGCCUGAACAGCUUUCUCCUCAUCCAAGGGGCGUAUCGCAGCAUCAGUGGCAUGACUGUAAAUGCGCCUUUGCAUUCUAGUUGUGAUUCGAUGGUUUGCCUGGUUUAAUACAUUGGCACUAGGUUUACAUUUAUGGAAUAUAUUAAUUUACAGCAGAAAAUACAGUUGUUGUACCAUACAGCAAUCUUGAGCAACAAGUUGUGGAAAA
Gossypium arboreum is the source of this 997-nucleotide long non-coding RNA. RefSeq lists it as uncharacterized. The transcript has 3 exons. Lineage: Eukaryota; Viridiplantae; Streptophyta; Magnoliopsida; Malvales; Malvaceae. The record is from RefSeq and is a predicted model, not a curated record.